GGGAGCAUAGCUCAGUUGGUGCAGAGCGUCUGCCUUACACGCAGAGGGGCGGGGGUUCGACUCCCUCUGCUCCCA
This 75-nucleotide transfer RNA is filed under the name Bacteroidales bacterium. RNAcentral's name for it is "tRNA-Val". It matches the Rfam family "tRNA". From Rfam's summary of the family: Transfer RNA (tRNA) molecules are approximately 80 nucleotides in length. Their secondary structure includes four short double-helical elements and three loops (D, anti-codon, and T loops). Lineage: Bacteria; Pseudomonadati; Bacteroidota; Bacteroidia; Bacteroidales. The record is from RNAcentral.